UGAAUUUGACAUUGAAACACUCAGAUUGCAGACUUCUUGGCUUGCCUACUAAUAAUAAAGUGGAAUAGAAAUCUGUCAUUUGUUUUUAGUCUGCUGCCUUGUAACUUAAUUGAUCCGAAUAAUUGGAUCUCAAAAUUAAUAUUUGGAUACCACCACAACGACCAAAUAUUCGGAUAUUCGGGUUCCACCAUGAGUUCAUUCCUACGUUCUCCAAUGGUCAGCUUUUCCUUCUGAAACUUAAUGGAUGUGGUCUUCAAAAUGUUGCCACUGUCAAGCAUGUUGGCCAAAAAGCAUUGUCGUGGCUGGAAAUAGUGUUGAUAUUUUUAAGUGUUUAAUGCCUCCAUGCAGACCAUCUAGUAUUAUGAAACCUCCCCUGUUCCACAAAAAGUGCCAUUCCCUUCACAGUUUUUGCUUACCUUUUUGUCAGUAUAACUGCAGCAGCUUGACUGUGUAGUCAGUGUAAUAUCUGACAGUAUGGAAUGUUGUGAUCAGCUGAUUUUGUGCUGUUCUCUAGUGUGUGGGCAGUGCGCAUAAUGUGGACACGGGAGUCUCCCAGAGCUGCUAUAGUUCUGGCAGUGUCGUUUUACAGAGACAUUGUGCACCCAGUGACCAACUUUGUCGUCAAGUCAUCAAAGACUGCAUCCUGGAAAAUCUUCACAAGUCCUUCUGUUACGGCCUGCACAUUUCAGUCAGUACCAUAGACUGUAUAAUAAAGAUGGACGUAGCGACUGGCUCCAAAAAUGAAGCCUACCCGGCAGUGUCAAAAACCUGCAAUAUCACACCAUCUGCUAGGGACUGGCUCCAAAAAGCUCUGGCUCCAAAGACUCCAAUUCUACACAGGAACAGCAAAAAUUUGAUAGACUGCUUUUCUACUGGUCAAGAUUUUUUUUACAUUAGUUUUCAUAGUCAAAGCGAAAGAUCAGGUGGCCGAUCUUAAAAUAUGUCAAUAUUUAAUUUUUAUAUAGAAAGUUAAAGUUUGCGAAGUCACUUAAUUGACAGUGUGGUCUGAAAUGAUUGACAGGUUGUCUGGAUGAGGCAGGAUAGACACUCACCGUAAACACUGUUCUUCUCCUUUGGAUUAAUUCUGAUAUAACUGUCAGUUUAUUUGUCGGUGGAGCAGCAGAACCACAGAUAGUUUUUCUGCCCAUUGGCUUGUUUUAACCAGUUUUCUACCUUCGGCUGAUUCUACCAGCAGACACUGAAAGGACUCUGAUCUGUUCGGUGUCUCAUUUUCACUGUGAGGAUCUUCUGAGUGAAGCCAACAGAAGACAAACCUCAUCUGUUUGUGAAGAAGGAGACUGAAUAGAGGACAGCCUCAGUUAACCACUUCCAGUUUAACUUUCACUUUCAAAAGCACAGACCAGCUCUUUCAGCAGUUUAUUCUUUGUUUUUAGUAUUCACAGGUUCCAUUUAUCACCUUUAACUUCAUCUCUGCUGUUAUAGCGUAAAUAAAUAUAAAAAGUCCAUGUUAUGUAUAGCAGAUAUGCUGCAUUAAAACAUCAACACAUUCA
Amphiprion ocellaris (clown anemonefish) is the source of this 1511-nucleotide long non-coding RNA. RefSeq lists it as uncharacterized. Lineage: Eukaryota; Metazoa; Chordata; Actinopteri; Pomacentridae. The transcript is spliced from 2 exons. The record is from RefSeq and is a predicted model, not a curated record.